UUUUUUUCUUUUUCUCUCUGUCCUCUAGAAAUGAUGAGAGGAUCACAUGAGGAGCUGGCACGGAGACCCAGGACCCUUGGACGUCGGAAGAGGCAUCGAACACAUAGAUCUGCCGAUGAACACCAUCGCCCAAGGUUUCUUUCAAGGAAAGGAGGAAGGAAAUAUACUUCCCAAGCCUCUGUCCAGCCGGUCUUUUUACUCUGAAACCACCGAUGACCGAGGAACCCCCUCCGCAACGUUAAACGCCCGUAAUUUCCCUCUGCUUCCCCCCGGCGGCUCCGGCGCACCGCCACCGCGCGAUCUUAUCGCCGCGUGAUCAUUAUUCACCGGUGACAAGCGGAGAUGCGGAGCUCCUAAGUGAGGGUGACAGAUUUCAAACGUGGUGCUGCGGCGUGCUCAGCCUCAAGACAUAUUCUUCCUCAAACUUUGCCUAGCAAGCAAGUCGGCGUCUUAACUCUUUGGAUCCCUGCUUGUUGCACGGGCACGGCUUACUUGCUGGGGGACUCUUCAUUACAUGUCCUUUUCUGUUCUUGAAUUGAAACAAAUCAGAACCGCCAACUCUGGGGAGCAGUUGGAGAGCUGAAUACUUCUGUGGUUAGGGACUGGAAAAAUCCUCCCGGCAAAGCAGUUCCUGGGGGACUCACCUGCAGUCCCUUCGUCGCCAGGUUUGGUAUGCAAAGCAUCGCAUGCAUCGUAUGGAAUUCACACAGAAUUGCAUUUUCCUCAGCUUGUUGUGGCUAAAAGUACGUAUCUGAAAGCGCUAUUUCACUCAGGCUUUCAGCUCCGUCCCCUCUACAGGUUAUCAAUAACAGCAGAGCAAAUGAGAAGAAGAGUUUAUUUCCAUAGGGGAUAAAAAUAAAUAAAUAAAUAAAUAAAUAAA
Molecule: non-coding RNA, 880 nt
Organism: Meleagris gallopavo (turkey)
Lineage: Eukaryota; Metazoa; Chordata; Aves; Galliformes; Phasianidae
Source: RefSeq, a predicted model, not a curated record